Non-coding RNA from Theobroma cacao (cacao), 256 nucleotides. The record is from RefSeq and is a predicted model, not a curated record. Lineage: Eukaryota; Viridiplantae; Streptophyta; Magnoliopsida; Malvales; Malvaceae.
GAAAUUUGGUGGAUUUCAAGUAAUCAAGCAAUCAAAUGUGGUGAGUCCUCCGACAAGGGAAAGGAAAUUGUACCCGAGGAUUGAUAAUCGGGGUACUUUAGAAAUUCGACUCCUGAAAUAGCUCAGAAUAGAUUGUAAAUAACUGAUAUCGGCGAGGACUAUAGUUGGACUUGCCACAUUCAAAAACUGUAGGUUCAUUUCUUUUGAUACUUUUAAUCAUUCAUGGGCCCACGUGUCAUUGUAAAUUAAAUUUUGU